Molecule: ribosomal RNA, 569 nt
Filed under: uncultured bacterium
Lineage: Bacteria
Description: partial 16S ribosomal RNA
Rfam family: Bacterial small subunit ribosomal RNA
Source: RNAcentral
UGGGGAAUAUUGCACAAUGGGCGAAAGCCUGAUGCAGCAACGCCGCGUGAGGGACGACGGCCUUCGGGUUGUAAACCUCUUUUAGCAAGGAAGAAGCGAAAGUGACGGUACUUGCAGAAAAAGCGCCGGCUAACUACGUGCCAGCAGCCGCGGUAAUACGUAGGGCGCAAGCGUUAUCCGGAAUUAUUGGGCGUAAAGAGCUCGUAGGCGGUUUGUCGCGUCUGCUGUGAAAACCCGAGGCUCAACCUCGGGCCUGCAGUGGGUACGGGCAGAUUAGAGUGCGGUAGGGGAGAUUGGAACUCCUGGUGUAGCGGUGGAAUGCGCAGAUAUCAGGAAGAACACCGAUGGCGAAGGCAGAUCUCUGGGCCGUAACUGACGCUGAGGAGCGAAAGGGUGGGGAGCAAAACAGGCUUAGAUACCCUGGUAGUCCACCCCGUAAACGUUGGGAACUAGUUGUGGGGUCCAUUCCACGGAUUCCGUGACGCAGCUAACGCAUUAAGUUCCCUGCCUGGGGAGUACGGCCGCAAGGCUAAAACUUAAAUGAAUUGACGGGGUCAUAGCUGUUUCCU